AUAAAAUAGUCUCGUUCGUAUGAACAAAUGAUUACAAAAACACCACAUUGCUGAUUUUAAAAGUAGCUUUCCUAAAACAUAUUAACUGUACAAAAUACUUUAUUAAGAAUUAAUAUGUUGUUGCAGAUAAAUGUUUGGGUUCCUAACAAAUAAACAAUAUGGUGUUCACAUGGAAUCAUAAUAAUAAGAAUAACAACAGUAAACUGAAGCCAAAAUUAUGAAAUUGGAAAUAAGUAAAGGCAGAGAAAUACUAGAACUGAAAACUAGCCAUGAAAAUUCAGGACCAACAUCGUAUUGAACUGGAGUCAAGAAAUAAAAGGUCUACAUAAUCUGAUGUGGUGUGUGGUGCGUGGUGGCUGAAUGGUGCUUAAAAAGUUAUACUGAUAAUCUUCUGCAAAUCAAUGUCAUCUACUCGAGCAAAUUUCCACUACGAUAAUAUAAAGGUUGCCAACCAAAGUUACCAACUUCUGCUCAAUAGUAACUAAGGGAGAUGUGGUUGUAAUACAAGUGAUGAGUUAUGGCAGUUCUUAAGUCAUUGUGAAUGAUAUCAAAACUUGACAAUGCAGCAGUAUGGUUCCAUCUUCAUGAUUAAACAGAUUGCGAUAUAUAUUUAAAAGAUUCCAUGUAUGAUAAUAAAGAAUGUGGAAAAUAAACAAUGAUACUGGAGGGCUACUACAUAAUAAAGAACUACUUUAUGGCCUAGAAGUAGUAAAUUCAAAUAUAAUUUCAGUAAAAAAAAGUAUCAUCAUGCAAAACCACCUUCAUACUGAUACAGUACCAAUAUUUAUGGCACCAGCCGACCUCUUAUUGCUUUUGAACUCAAAUUUUUGUAUAUUUAAAAGAUUCUAUGUAUCUAUGUACUAUAAAGAAUGUGGAAAAUAAACAAUGAUACUGGGGAGUUAUACAUAAUAAAGAACUGCUUUAAGGCCUAGAAAUAGUAAAUUCAAAUAUACAUUCGGUUAAAAAUGUAUCAACGCGCAACCACCUUCAUACCGAUACGCUACCAAUAUUUGUGGCACCAGCCGACUUCUUAUUGCUUCUGAACUCCAACUUUUCCACCUGUUUUCAUUCGGUAGAAGAUAUAGUGGAGAAUUCGCAAAAACGUUUAAUAAUGUUAUGAGUAUUGGAUUAUUUGUUUGCGAAAGUAUGGUUUAUGAAAGAGCAUACCGAGAAACCUGGCAACUUUGUCACUUUUUGGCGGAUAAAAAAAGUUUGGAAAGGUUUUUCUUAAAAAAUCUAUGAGAAUAUAAAAAGCAAUCAAUCAGCUUGAUAGUGUAUUUUAUGCAUAAUUGUAAUGUAAUCAAAUAGGUAUCUAUUGUUUUCUUAAAUAUUAUUAAGUCCA
This is a long non-coding RNA of Bombyx mandarina (wild silkworm), 1342 nucleotides long. RefSeq lists it as uncharacterized. Lineage: Eukaryota; Metazoa; Arthropoda; Insecta; Lepidoptera; Bombycidae. The record is from RefSeq and is a predicted model, not a curated record.